CAGUAGCCGCGGGAAUACGUAGGUGGCAAGCGUUGUCCGGAAUUAUUGGGCGUAAAGGGCUCGCGGGCGGUUUCUUAAGUCUGAUGUGAAAGCCCCCGGCUCAACCGGGGAGGGUCAUUGGAAACUGGGAAACUUGAGUGCAGAAGAGGAGAGUGGAAUUCCACGUGUAGCGGUGAAAUGCGUAGAGAUGUGGAGGAACACCAGUGGCGAAGGCGACUCUCUGGUCUGUAACUGACGCUGAGGAGCGAAAGCGUGGGGAGCGAACAGGAUUAGAUACCCCUGUAGUCCCUGUCUCUUAUAC
This 301-nucleotide ribosomal RNA is filed under the name uncultured bacterium. Its description in RNAcentral is "partial 16S ribosomal RNA". It matches the Rfam family "Bacterial small subunit ribosomal RNA", at positions 509 to 807 of the family's 1533-position model. The record is from RNAcentral.